RNAcentral lists this long non-coding RNA (743 nucleotides) under Anas zonorhyncha (Eastern spot-billed duck). Its description in RNAcentral is "lncRNA (ENSAZOG00000014114.1)". Lineage: Eukaryota; Metazoa; Chordata; Aves; Anseriformes; Anatidae. The record is from RNAcentral.
CCUUCCUUGAGUUAGGAGGGCUUUGCUCUGUCCCCUGGCACGUCAGGGGUUGUGUCUGAGCCCCAUUACUAGCCCCCAACUGCUGCUUGUCCUGUUUGGGCUCUGUAGGACCCUGCCCUAGAGGCCCAGGCCUGGCUGCUGCCUCCUUCCCUAAGAGCAGCCAUGUUCCUGCUAGGCCUUGACAGGAAAUGAAGAGACAUUGAACUCCUUCAGACUUCAACAGCAAUGGGUUGAAAUAGUGAACAUGAUGUUCACUGAUGAACAAUUAUAAGACCUCUUUCUAUCUACUGCCUAUACAAAGCAGUAAUUAAAUAUUUCUAAUAACAAAACAGAGACAGAUAUAAUGAAUGCAUCAAGACUACAAAAGACACAUUGCAGCCUAUUCUAGUAUUAAUCCGGAGUGUUAUAAAACAAAAUCAAGGGAGAAGAUUAAUAUCUGUCAACUUCAUAAUGUGACCUAGUUUAUUUAGAAGACAUCUUUAUUCUCUUGGACAGAAGUAAGUGGCAUACCAGCAAUGUGACCAGUUUAGGACAAGCUCUAAGAAGUUAGACUGUACUGGGUUAUUUGUGGUUUUCACUGUAAAAGCUGUGUUGUUCCAGAUAAAACAAUUGUUGGACUGUUUUUUUGCUGAAACUCUCAUGACUGACAUAAUUGCUGAUGUAGCAGGACAAUAUGGGUUGAAGCCUUAACUGGUGGUUUUCUCUCCUCAAAGACGAGAAAAAUUUUAUUUCAAGGACUGCAA